Molecule: long non-coding RNA, 541 nt
Organism: Xiphophorus couchianus (Monterrey platyfish)
Lineage: Eukaryota; Metazoa; Chordata; Actinopteri; Cyprinodontiformes; Poeciliidae
Exons: 3
Source: RefSeq, a predicted model, not a curated record
UCUUGUGAACAGUGUUGCAGCUUCCGGUCACUAGCGAGGCAACGUCAAACCAGAGCAUGCUGCUUCCCGUCGUUUCAGACUGAAUGAGCCCACUUUAGGAACACGAACAGGCUGAGGGAGACUUCUCUGUCUCUGAUGAUCUAUGGAGUCAGGCGUUUGGACGAGCCUCCUCUUCAUGCAUCGGCCUCACCCUCACCAUAGAUUCAGCUACAAGAAUGCCCACAAUUGCUCCAAGUCAAGCUCCAGACCUGACAGCCUUCCCACUCUCCCCACCAUUCCUCCACGGACACACCAGGAUCAAAGCUCUCAGCUCUGGUUCUUCCCUCACAUCAGAACAAGUAAGAUCAGCCACACUUUACUAUUUCACAGUCUCACUAUUCCACAUCUUGGAUUGGAUUGAACUUUGUUAAUCUCCCUAAUACCUCCCCCUGAACACCUACAAUCUCAUUUAUUGCAAAUAAAUCACAAUGAACUGCUUCCUCUUUCCUGUCUGCAUGUGGGGCAGGAAGUUGUCUCAAAACUUGACAGCAGUAACAAUACA